AGUGAACGCUGGCGGUAGGCCUAACACAUGCAAGUCGAAUGGCAGCACAGUAAGAGCUUGCUCUUACGGGUGGCGAGUGGCGGACGGGUGAGGAAUACAUCGGAAUCUACUUUUUCGUGGGGGAUAACGUAGGGAAACUUACGCUAAUACCGCAUACGACCUACGGGUGAAAGAAGGGGAUCUUCGGACCUUGCGCGAUUGAAUGAGCCGAUGUCGGAUUAGCUAGUUGGCGGGGUAAAGGCCCACCAAGGCGACGAUCCGUAGCUGGUCUGAGAGGAUGAUCAGCCACACUGGAACUGAGACACGGUCCAGACUCCUACGGGAGGCAGCAGUGGGGAAUAUUGGACAAUGGGCGCAAGCCUGAUCCAGCCAUACCGCGUGGGUGAAGAAGGCCUUCGGGUUGUAAAGCCCUUUUGUUGGGAAAGAAAAGCAGCAGGUUAAUACCCCGCUGUUCUGACGGUACCCAAAGAAUAAGCACCGGCUAACUUCGUG
RNAcentral lists this ribosomal RNA (492 nucleotides) under uncultured bacterium. Its description in RNAcentral is "partial 16S ribosomal RNA". It matches the Rfam family "Bacterial small subunit ribosomal RNA", at positions 29 to 507 of the family's 1533-position model. The record is from RNAcentral.